RNAcentral lists this ribosomal RNA (496 nucleotides) under uncultured bacterium. Its description in RNAcentral is "partial 16S ribosomal RNA". It matches the Rfam family "Bacterial small subunit ribosomal RNA", at positions 28 to 507 of the family's 1533-position model. The record is from RNAcentral.
GAUGAACGCUGGCGGCGUGCCUAAUACAUGCAAGUCGAGCGAACAGAUGAGGAGCUUGCUCCUCUGACGUUAGCGGCGGACGGGUGAGUAACACGUGGAUAACCUACCUAUAAGACUGGGAUAACUUCGGGAAACCGGAGCUAAUACCGGAUAAUAUAUUGAACCGCAUGGUUCAAUAGUGAAAGACGGUUUUGCUGUCACUUAUAGAUGGAUCCGCGCCGCAUUAGCUAGUUGGUAAGGUAACGGCUUACCAAGGCAACGAUGCGUAGCCGACCUGAGAGGGUGAUCGGCCACACUGAACUGAGACACGGUCCAGACUCCUACGGGAGGCAGCAGUAGGGAAUCUUCCGCAAUGGGCGAAAGCUUGACGGAGCAACGCCGCGUGAGUGAUGAAGGUCUUCGGAUCGUAAAACUCUGUUAUUAGGGAAGAACAAAUGUGUAAGUAACUAUGCACGUCUUGACGGUACCUAAUCAGAAAGCCACGGCUAACUACGUG